GGGUUAUAUUCCCGUACUUCUGACUAUUGCGAUGGGGGGACGGAGAAGGCUAGGUGGGCCAGGCGACGGUUGUCCUGGUUCAAGUGCGUAGGCUUGAGAGUUAGGUAAAUCCGGCUCUCUCUAAGGCUGAGACACGACGUCGAGCUGCUACGACAGUGAAGUCAUUGAUGCCAUGCUUCCAGGAAAAGCCUCUAAGCUUCAGAUAGUCAGGAAUCGUACCCCAAACCGACACAGGUGGUCGGGUAGAGAAUACCAAGGCGCUUGAGAGAACUCGGGUGAAGGAACUAGGCAAAAUGGUACCGUAACUUCGGGAGAAGGUACGCUCUUGAUGGUGAAGUCCCUCGCGGAUGGAGCUGACGAGAGUCGCAGAUACCAGGUGGCUGCAACUGUUUAUUAAAAACACAGCACUGUGCAAAAUCGCAAGAUGACGUAUACGGUGUGACGCCUGCCCGGUGCCGGAAGGUUAAUUGAUGGGGUUAGCGCAAGCGAAGCUCUUGAUCGAAGCCCCGGUAAACGGCGGCCGUAACUAUAACGGUCCUAAGGUAGCGAAAUUCCUUGUCGGGUAAGUUCCGACCUGCACGAAUGGCGUAAUGAUGGCCACGCUGUCUCCACCCGAGACUCAGUGAAAUUGAAAUCGCUGUGAAGAUGCAGUGUACCCGCGGCUAGACGGAAAGACCCCGUGAACCUUUACUACAGCUUGGCACUGAACAUUGAACCUACAUGUGUAGGAUAGGUGGGAGGCUAUGAAGACGUGACGCCAGUUGCGUUGGAGCCGUCCUUGAAAUACCACCCUUGUAUGUUUGAUGUUCUAACUUAGACCCAUUAUCUGGGUUGAGGACAGUGCCUGGUGGGUAGUUUGACUGGGGCGGUCUCCUCCCAAAGAGUAACGGAGGAGCACGAAGGUGGGCUAAUCACGGUUGGACAUCGUGAGGUUAGUGCAAUGGCAUAAGCCCGCUUAACUGCGAGAAUGACGGUUCGAGCAGGUGCGAAAGCAGGUCAUAGUGAUCCGGUGGUUCUGUAUGGAAGGGCCAUCGCUCAACGGAUAAAAGGUACUCCGGGGAUAACAGGCUGAUACCGCCCAAGAGUUCAUAUCGACGGCGGUGUUUGGCACCUCGAUGUCGGCUCAUCACAUCCUGGGGCUGAAGUCGGUCCCAAGGGUAUGGCUGUUCGCCAUUUAAAGUGGUACGCGAGCUGGGUUUAGAACGUCGUGAGACAGUUCGGUCCCUAUCUGCCGUGGGCGUUGGAAGAUUGAAGGGGGCUGCUCCUAGUACGAGAGGACCGGAGUGGACGAACCUCUGGUGUUCGGGUUGUGUCGCCAGACGCAUUGCCCGGUAGCUAAGUUCGGAAUUGAUAAGCGCUGAAAGCAUCUAAGCGCGAAGCGAGCCCUGAGAUGAGUCUUCCCUGACAGUUUAACUGUCCUAAAGGGUUGUUCGAGACUAGAACGUUGAUAGGCAGGGUGUGUAAGCGUUGUGAGGCGUUGAGCUAACCUGUACUAAUUGCCCGUGAGGCUUAACCAU
Molecule: ribosomal RNA, 1517 nt
Filed under: Vibrio cholerae TM 11079-80
Lineage: Bacteria; Pseudomonadati; Pseudomonadota; Gammaproteobacteria; Vibrionales; Vibrionaceae
Description: bacterial LSU rRNA
Rfam family: Bacterial large subunit ribosomal RNA
Source: RNAcentral